CCUACGGGAGGCAGCAGUGAGGAAUAUUGGUCAAUGGGCGUGAGCCUGAACCAGCCAAGUCGCGUGAGGGACGACGGUCCUAUGGAUUGUAAACCUCUUUUGUCGGGGAACAAAGUCCUCCACGUGUGGGCGGUUGUGUGUACCCGAUGAAUAAGCAUCGGCUAACUCCGUGCCAGCAGCCGCGGUAAUACGGAGGAUGCGAGCGUUAUCCGGAUUUAUUGGGUUUAAAGGGUGCGUAGGCGGACUGUAAAGUCUGCGGUAAAAUUGCGGUGCUCAACGCGGUACAGCCGUUGAAACUGGCAGGCUUGAGUGGGCGAGAAGUAUGCGGAAUGCGUGGUGUAGCGGUGAAAUGCUUAGAUAUCACGCAGAACUCCGAUUGCGAAGGCAGCAUACCGGAGCGCAACUGACGCUGAAGCACGAAGGCGUGGGUAUCGAACAGGAUUAGAUACCCCAGUAGUC
Molecule: ribosomal RNA, 459 nt
Filed under: uncultured bacterium
Lineage: Bacteria
Description: partial 16S ribosomal RNA
Rfam family: Bacterial small subunit ribosomal RNA
Source: RNAcentral